GAUUGGUGCUUGCAUCAUGAUUUACAUUUGAGUGAGUGGCGAACUGGUGAGUAACACGUGGGAAACCUGCCCAGAAGCGGGGGAUAACACCUGGAAACAGAUGCUAAUACCGCAUAACAACUUGGACCGCAUGGUCCGAGUUUGAAAGAUGGCUUCGGCUAUCACUUUUGGAUGGUCCCGCGGCGUAUUAGCUAGAUGGUGAGGUAACGGCUCACCAUGGCAAUGAUACGUAGCCGACCUGAGAGGGUAAUCGGCCACAUUGGGACUGAGACACGGCCCAAACUCCUACGGGAGGCAGCAGUAGGGAAUCUUCCACAAUGGACGAAAGUCUGAUGGAGCAACGCCGCGUGAGUGAAGAAGGGUUUCGGCUCGUAAAACUCUGUUGUUAAAGAAGAACAUAUCUGAGAGUAACUGUUCAGGUAUUGACGGUAUUUAACCAGAAAGCCACGGCUAACUACGUGCCAGCAGCCGCGGUAAUACGUAGGUGGCAAGCGUUGUCCGGAUUUAUUGGGCGUAAAGCGAGCGCAGGCGGUUUUUUAAGUCUGAUGU
RNAcentral lists this ribosomal RNA (549 nucleotides) under Lactiplantibacillus plantarum. RNAcentral describes it as "bacterial SSU rRNA". It matches the Rfam family "Bacterial small subunit ribosomal RNA", at positions 71 to 595 of the family's 1533-position model. Lineage: Bacteria; Bacillati; Bacillota; Bacilli; Lactobacillales; Lactobacillaceae. The record is from RNAcentral.